This 433-nucleotide ribosomal RNA is filed under the name uncultured bacterium. RNAcentral describes it as "partial 16S ribosomal RNA". It matches the Rfam family "Bacterial small subunit ribosomal RNA", at positions 29 to 507 of the family's 1533-position model. The record is from RNAcentral.
AACGAACGCUGGCGGCAUGCCUAACACAUGCCAGUCGAACGAUACCUUCGGGUCUAGUGGCGCACGGGUGCGUAACGCGUGGGAACCUGCCCUUAGGUUCGGAAUAACUCCCCGAAAGGGGUGCUAAUACCGGAUAAUGUCUUCGGACCAAAGAUUUAUCGCCUUUGGAUGGGCCCGCGUUGGAUUAGCUAGUUGGUAGGGUAAAAGCCUACCAAGGCGACGAUCCAUAGCUGGUCUGAGAGGAUGAUCAGCCACACUGGGACUGAGACACGGCCCAGACUGCUACGGGAGGCAGGAGUGGGGAAUAUUGGACAAUGGGCGAAAGCCUGAUCCAGCAAUGCCGCGUGAGUGAUGAAGGCCUUAGGGUUGUAAAGCUCUUUUAGCCGGGAUGAUAAUGACAGUACCGGGAGAAUAAGCGCCGGCUAACUACGUG